Long non-coding RNA from Egretta garzetta (little egret), 4101 nucleotides. RefSeq lists it as uncharacterized. The record is from RefSeq and is a predicted model, not a curated record. NCBI's taxonomy places the organism in Eukaryota, Metazoa, Chordata, Aves, Pelecaniformes, Ardeidae. The transcript has 4 exons.
GGCCGCGGGCGCAGGGGCGCGCUGGGAUGUGCUCUUGCCCAGCCCCAGCAGAGCCCUGCAGCCUGCCCCGCGGAAAGCGCAACUGCUGGCAAAAUCAGCAGCGGAUUAUGGGUGAUAAACGCAUAAUGGCCUUGAUAAUCCCCCCGAUUUUCAGCUCCCCUUCGGUGGAGGCAGGCCUGUUGGCAAAAGGGACGGGAUGGCGUUCGGGGAGCGACUCCCCCCGCCGGCCUGCGGGGAACAGAUUUAGGGGAGAAGCUGUUAGAGGACCCUUUGCUUUGCCUAACGGGGGGAGACUGCGGCGGAGGAUGCCCGAGGGGGGCCUGGCUGGGAGAGGGGUGACUGCGGGGGGCGGAACGCUCCCUGAGGUUAAUUCCAGCAAGCCAGGGUUAAAUCACAGGGCUGGAGAUUUUUGAAGGUGGGGGUGGAUGCGAGGAGGAGCGCUUUUGAAGGGAGGAGUAGGGAUGCGUAGUAGUUUUGGGGCUGUGAAGAAGGAAUCGACUACAGAGGGGGAGAUGCUGAGGAGGCCUGGGGAAAAGUGAAGUGGGUACUUAGUAAAGAACUUAGCUAAGAUCUACUUUAGGUAGUUUCUGUCGUUAACAGCGGUCGGAGCAAACAGCCGUGUGUUAAGGUUUCCCUAAACCGAAUAUUUGGAAUAGUCCUCAAAUUGCUGGUUAUGUUCCCCUCGCCAUUGUAGAUAACGAUCAGUGCAACUUCAACCCGAGUGUGCCAGCGGCUGAGGACAGCUAAUUGAGGGCUCUUCCGCUGGGCUUUCCUGUAACAGAUAAGCUGACUGUUUCGGUGCGAUCACAAAAUCUCCAGUUCCCGCUGCUGACUGUGAUGGAAUGCUGUAGCUCAGGAUGGGAUACAGCUGACUGGGACCUGUAGUCGCUGGAGUCAUUAGCACCACAGUCAAGGACGCGCUAACAAGAACCACUGCAAAACUCUUUCAUCGCUGCAUUGUAAACCGUGACCGAAUUAUUGAGAAGAAUCGUAUUCCACUGUUUGCAACAAGAAAUUUCUACUGGCAUGAUGAAGCAUAUUUAAAAUGAUGUGCUGUUCCACAGGACGUUUUUAGAGUAUUAUUUUUAGAGGAUUUUUUUUCUGCUUCCUGUUACAGCUUUUAAGAAGUCUUUAGAUGGGUGGUAUUUGCCAAGAGUAUUUCUAAAAAGAUUACAUAUCUAAAUAAGUAGAUAUUUACCACCUAUGCACACUUGGUUAUUGCAGGCAGGAGAAUGAUUUUGUCCAAUGUAUUCAUUGAAAGUGUCAAUUUAGAAAAUUCCACACUUUGUCCAAUGGAGCUGUUCCCAAUGACAUCAUUCCCCAUAAAAAGAGAAUAUGGGACUGCAGUUGCUACUGGGAUCACAUGGCAUUUCAACUGAGUUUUGGAAUCAGUUUCCAUCAUAAUGGCCAUAUUCUGCAUGAGUCUGCUGUAAUCUCUGUGUGUUGGUAUUGCCCAAUUCUCCUUUUAACUCUUUCAGUUUUAAUACCAGUUGGUUAAACUUCUUUUAUUAUAAGGUAUAGCAUGAAGUAUUGGAAUUUUGUCUGUAUAUUCUUUAAAGAGAGGACAAGUAUUAACUGUUGUGUCGCAUGGUUUAGGUUUCUUGAUGCCUAAGUGAAAAAGAUGUACUUCUUUCAGUGUCUCACAUGCAGUUUAUUCAAAAGGUGAGGAAAAGCAGAGCCUUUUGGUUUCAGCUUCCCUUACUUAUCAUCCCCAUUUAUCUUCUUGUCUUACCACAAAUAUUUGACGUAGAUGGGAAAUAAUGUAUCUGAAGUUACUCUGCAGCCAAAAAGGCUGGUAGACCAUGGGGUUUUGUUUUGUUUGGACUAGGAUUUAUAUCACCUAAUAACACUCAUCUAAAUAUUAGACGUAUAAUCAAGCUGUUGUCCAGGCUGUCUUGAUACAGCGGAGAGAGGCAGGCACCUUUAGAUGAUCAUUACUCCCAUGCUUACUCGGGUGGCUAAAGCAGGUUGGGUGAGUUGCCUUCUGAGGGUGACUUUUUCUCUCCUGUAGUUUCUGCAAGUACAGAAGAAGCCGAGAUGACCACCCUUAAUUUUUAGAUGGCUAAAAUUAAUUAAUUACCUGUGGUGCUUAGAGGUUAUCUAAUAGAAAUCUUCAUAUUAAUGAUACCUGUGGCCUGUAAUAGUGUGAUCUUGAGCUUACCAGAACUUUAUAUGUGGCUUUGUGAAGUACUGAUGCCCUGCCCCAUCUCCUCCAGUGGGCCCUACCUAUUUUUGGAAUCUAAAAGCCAGCUGGAUGACUAUGCUGCUGGCUUUACGUCUUCUUGGUGCUAUUCCUGCAACACCCUGGUGUGAUGACAUCUAUUCAUGACGGUACGAUGUGAAAGGUCUCAUUGGGACCAUCUGCAUUGCUCUUCAACACAGAAUCCAUGAAUCAGCUUAAAGCAGCGUUAGUAGAAAAGGUAAGUUGAUUUGAAGUGCUCCAAAGACUGGGUUGAAUUCACAUGUGACGGGACUCCAGCACAGAUACCUUUCUAUGGUUCUUUCCAACCCGAAGGGGAUACACUUUAUUGAACCUCCCUCUGUCAGUGGUGAGUGCUUACAAAGUCUUUGUGUUCAAAAUUGCUGAAACUUUAAUUUUCUUGACGAGAUCUUCUUUUACUAUUAGACAAGCUGUAAAGUAAAGAACAACCAGAAUAUUUAGAUAUCAGCUAGGUUUUAGCCUAUUCCGUUCAUUAGAUGGUUCUUCUGUUUUCAAAAUGUGAGGGUAUAUGUAAGUUGCUGUUUUCAUUUGCUAUUAGUAGUCCGUGCAUGAAGGCCUGUAUCCUCACUGAAGUCAAUGACAAAGCUUCCAUUGACCUCAGCGUUGCAGGAUCAAACCCUUAGUCAUUAGCAUGUUGUAAAAACGGCUGUUAUCCCAGCCAAUUUUAAUGGGCCUGCCUACAACUGGCAGUUGUUUAACCUAAAAAUUAGCUUAGCAAUCACAGCUAAAAUUACAUGUCAGACUGUUAGUGCGUAAGAAUACUUCAUAGUGAGUCAUCAAGAGUCUUACGAUGCACUUAGAGUUCUAUAAUUAUUAACAUUCAAGCAAGAGAUCCUGAAAUUUGAUAAAGACUGGAAUUUCCAGAUGCGAAGGAGAUUAGUUCAGAUGAGAGGAUAAGAUUUACAUUCUGUAAACUCAAUUUUUUGUGUUACUAGUCCUUUUCUUCUUUAAAUAGUCAGAUCUAGGUACAAUCAAAACACAACUUACUUUUUGCUGCAUUUAUUCAUAUAAACCUGUUCAAUCAGCUGUCUCUCUUAACAACCUCAUUAGCUGGGACACAGCUGAGGAGAUAAUUUUUUGUGUGUCAAUUAAACAGUUAAAUUAAACUAAAAGCAACAUGUCAGAAUCAAAUAGCCAAGGUGUGGAGAUAUUUGAAAUCUGAACCUUGCUUAGUAUAUUGCAAAAUAGGUUUUACACAGUACCAAGUAUUCUGGAGAGACCAGGAUUUAAAGGAUAAUCCUGUUCUGGAGCUGGAUUUUGCCACUUUGCCUGUUUUAGUUGACAACAUAAAUGAAAUUUAAAUUUAGUUUCGUUACGUAGGUGCUGAUGUGGUAUGACUGUAAGAAGUAAAGCCAUUGCUUCAUGUUGGCUGGCAAAAAUGGAUAUGAGAUCACAAGCUAUAUAUGAUGGUUUUCUUAGGAAAGCAAAAUAAGUAGUAAUUUGGAUUUUUCGCAUUACUUUGGAGAUGGUGCAGAACAAAAUAUCAGCAAAGCAAUAAGGGCCAUUAUGAAAAGAAACUGUUUGUUGUGCAGUUCAAGCUCAGAGUUUCAGGAGGAGGAACCUAUCAGGGAAGGAAAAUCUCACACUCCAGGUCACGUUAGAUCUUUUGUAGAAUGUUUAAGUGCAAGUAACGUGAUGCCACUUCACAUCAGAGUAUUACUCAAAACAGGGAUGAUACUUGGACAUAAUCUGCAUCUCCGCCCUAAACCAGAAAGAUAUCCUUCCUUCUCAAGAAAUUUCAGUUAAUCCAGUGGAUUAGGAGUUCAACUACUUCUUGAGAGAUUUGGGAAUAUGAUUUCUUUUAAGGAUUUGAAAUAUGUUUGUUUUCUUGCUUGUUUUCAUUCAUUGUACUAUAUCACUCAUGUAUUUAUUAGGAUAAA